Chelonoidis abingdonii (Abingdon island giant tortoise) is the source of this 167-nucleotide unclassified non-coding RNA. The record is from Ensembl. NCBI's taxonomy places the organism in Eukaryota, Metazoa, Chordata, Testudines, Testudinidae.
AUGACAGCCCUGGAGAUUGAGGUUCUCUAUCUAACCACAGAACAGAGUCAGAAGAGAGUGGCAAAGCAAACUUCCCUCAUGCUGCUCCUCAGUCUUGAUCUUGAAGGACUAGCAGUAGAGCUGAGUGAAAUGUUUAAGACAAAAGGUUUAUUUACCCCCAAAAAGCA